GCCCUUAGAGUUUGAUCCUGGCUCAGAAUGAACGCUGGCGGCGUGCCUAACACAUGCAAGUCGAGCGAGAAAGCCCCUUCGGGGGUGAGUAAAGCGGCGGACGGGUGAGUAACGCGUGGAUGACCUAUCCUUGGAUCUGGGAUAACCCUGCGAAAGCGGGGCUAAUACCGGAUAGUCCCGAUGUUUUAGAUUUCAUUGGGUAAAGAUGGCCUCUGGAUUCAAGCUAUCGUCCAGGGCUGGGUCCGCGUCCCAUUAGCUUGUUGGUGGGGUAAUGGCUUACCAAGGCGACGAUGGGUAGCUGGUCUGAGAGGAUGGUCAGCCACACUGGGACUGGAACACGGCCCAGACUCCUACGGGAGGCAGCAGUGGGGAAUAUUGGGCAAUGGGCGAGAGCCUGACCCAGCGACGCCGCGUGGGGGAAGAAGGUCCUCGGAUCGUAAACCUCUGUCAGGAGGGAAGAAGUUAUAUGCACUUAACAGGUGCAUAUAUUGACGGUACCUCCAAAGGAAGCACCGGCCAACUCCGUGCCAGCAGCCGCGGUAAUACGGAGGGUGCAAGCGUUAUUCGGAAUUACUGGGCGUAAAGCGCGCGUAGGCGGCCAUGCAAGUCAGGUGUGAAAGCCCUCGGCUUAACCGGGGAACUGCACUUGAAACUGUGUGGCUAGAGUUCGGGAGAGGGUGGCGGAAUUCCAGGUGUAGGAGUGAAAUCCGUAGAUAUCUGGAGGAACACCAGAGGCGAAGGCGGCCACCUGGACCGAAACUGACGCUGAGGCGCGAAAGCGUGGGUAGCAAACAGGAUUAGAUACCCUGGUAGUCCACGCUGUAAACGAUGGAUGCUA
This 838-nucleotide ribosomal RNA is filed under the name uncultured delta proteobacterium. RNAcentral's name for it is "bacterial SSU rRNA". It matches the Rfam family "Bacterial small subunit ribosomal RNA", at positions 1 to 818 of the family's 1533-position model. Lineage: Bacteria; Deltaproteobacteria. The record is from RNAcentral.